UUAAGCGACUAAGCGUACACGGUGGAUGCCCUGGCAGUCAGAGGCGAUGAAGGACGUGCUAAUCUGCGAUAAGCGUCGGUAAGGUGAUAUGAACCGUUAUAACCGGCGAUUUCCGAAUGGGGAAACCCAGUGUGAUUCGUCACACUAUCAUUAACUGAAUCCAUAGGUUAAUGAGGCGAACCGGGGGAACUGAAACAUCUAAGUACCCCGAGGAAAAGAAAUCAACCGAGAUUCCCCCAGUAGCGGCGAGCGAACGGGGAGCAGCCCAGAGCCUGAAUCAGUGUGUGUGUUAGUGGAAGCGUCUGGAAAGGCGUGCGAUACAGGGUGACAGCCCCGUACACAAAAAUGCACAUACUGUGAGCUCGAUGAGUAGGGCGGGACACGUGGUAUCCUGUCUGAAUAUGGGGGGACCAUCCUCCAAGGCUAAAUACUCCUGACUGACCGAUAGUGAACCAGUACCGUGAGGGAAAGGCGAAAAGAACCCCGGCGAGGGGAGUGAAAAAGAACCUGAAACCGUGUACGUACAAGCAGUGGGAGCACAGAGCAAUCUGUGUGACUGCGUACCUUUUGUAUAAUGGGUCAGCGACUUAUAUUCUGUAGCAAGGUUAACCGAAUAGGGGAGCCGAAGGGAAACCGAGUCUUAACUGGGCGUUAAGUUGCAGGGUAUAGACCCGAAACCCGGUGAUCUAGCCAUGGGCAGGUUGAAGGUUGGGUAACACUAACUGGAGGACCGAACCGACUAAUGUUGAAAAAUUAGCGGAUGACUUGUGGCUGGGGGUGAAAGGCCAAUCAAACCGGGAGAUAGCUGGUUCUCCCCGAAAGCUAUUUAGGUAGCGCCUCGUGAAUUCAUCUCCGGGGGUAGAGCACUGUUUCGGCAAGGGGGUCAUCCCGACUUACCAACCCGAUGCAAACUGCGAAUACCGGAGAAUGUUAUCACGGGAGACACACGGCGGGUGCUAACGUCCGUCGUGAAGAGGGAAACAACCCAGACCGCCAGCUAAGGUCCCAAAGUCAUGGUUAAGUGGGAAACGAUGUGGGAAGGCCCAGACAGCCAGGAUGUUGGCUUAGAAGCAGCCAUCAUUUAAAGAAAGCGUAAUAGCUCACUGGUCGAGUCGGCCUGCGCGGAAGAUGUAACGGGGCUAAACCAUGCACCGAAGCUGCGGCAGCGACGCUUAUGCGUUGUUGGGUAGGGGAGCGUUCUGUAAGCCUGUGAAGGUGUACUGUGAGGUAUGCUGGAGGUAUCAGAAGUGCGAAUGCUGACAUAAGUAACGAUAAAGCGGGUGAAAAGCCCGCUCGCCGGAAGACCAAGGGUUCCUGUCCAACGUUAAUCGGGGCAGGGUGAGUCGACCCCUAAGGCGAGGCCGAAAGGCGUAGUCGAUGGGAAACAGGUUAAUAUUCCUGUACUUGGUGUUACUGCGAAGGGGGGACGGAGAAGGCUAUGUUGGCCGGGCGACGGUUGUCCCGGUUUAAGCGUGUAGGCUGGUUUUCCAGGCAAAUCCGGAAAAUCAAGGCUGAGGCGUGAUGACGAGGCACUACGGUGCUGAAGCAACAAAUGCCCUGCUUCCAGGAAAAGCCUCUAAGCAUCAGGUAACAUCAAAUCGUACCCCAAACCGACACAGGUGGUCAGGUAGAGAAUACCAAGGCGCUUGAGAGAACUCGGGUGAAGGAACUAGGCAAAAUGGUGCCGUAACUUCGGGAGAAGGCACGCUGAUAUGUAGGUGAAGUCCCUCGCGGAUGGAGCUGAAAUCAGUCGAAGAUACCAGCUGGCUGCAACUGUUUAUUAAAAACACAGCACUGUGCAAACACGAAAGUGGACGUAUACGGUGUGACGCCUGCCCGGUGCCGGAAGGUUAAUUGAUGGGGUUAGCGCAAGCGAAGCUCUUGAUCGAAGCCCCGGUAAACGGCGGCCGUAACUAUAACGGUCCUAAGGUAGCGAAAUUCCUUGUCGGGUAAGUUCCGACCUGCACGAAUGGCGUAAUGAUGGCCAGGCUGUCUCCACCCGAGACUCAGUGAAAUUGAACUCGCUGUGAAGAUGCAGUGUACCCGCGGCAAGACGGAAAGACCCCGUGAACCUUUACUAUAGCUUGACACUGAACAUUGAGCCUUGAUGUGUAGGAUAGGUGGGAGGCUUUGAAGUGUGGACGCCAGUCUGCAUGGAGCCGACCUUGAAAUACCACCCUUUAAUGUUUGAUGUUCUAACGUUGACCCGUGAUCCGGGUUGCGGACAGUGUCUGGUGGGUAGUUUGACUGGGGCGGUCUCCUCCUAAAGAGUAACGGAGGAGCACGAAGGUUGGCUAAUCCUGGUCGGACAUCAGGAGGUUAGUGCAAUGGCAUAAGCCAGCUUGACUGCGAGCGUGACGGCGCGAGCAGGUGCGAAAGCAGGUCAUAGUGAUCCGGUGGUUCUGAAUGGAAGGGCCAUCGCUCAACGGAUAAAAGGUACUCCGGGGAUAACAGGCUGAUACCGCCCAAGAGUUCAUAUCGACGGCGGUGUUUGGCACCUCGAUGUCGGCUCAUCACAUCCUGGGGCUGAAGUAGGUCCCAAGGGUAUGGCUGUUCGCCAUUUAAAGUGGUACGCGAGCUGGGUUUAGAACGUCGUGAGACAGUUCGGUCCCUAUCUGCCGUGGGCGCUGGAGAACUGAGGGGGGCUGCUCCUAGUACGAGAGGACCGGAGUGGACGCAUCACUGGUGUUCGGGUUGUCAUGCCAAUGGCACUGCCCGGUAGCUAAAUGCGGAAGAGAUAAGUGCUGAAAGCAUCUAAGCACGAAACUUGCCCCGAGAUGAGUUCUCCCUGACUCCUUGAGAGUCCUGAAGGAACGUUGAAGACGACGACGUUGAUAGGCCGGGUGUGUAAGCGCAGCGAUGCGUUGAGCUAACCGGUACUAAUGAACCGUGAGGCUUAACCUU
RNAcentral lists this ribosomal RNA (2904 nucleotides) under human gut metagenome. RNAcentral's name for it is "bacterial LSU rRNA". It matches the Rfam family "Bacterial large subunit ribosomal RNA". The record is from RNAcentral.